UGGGGAAUAUUGGACAAUGGGCGAAAGCCUGAUCCAGCCAUGCCGCGUGUGUGAAGAAGGUCUUCGGAUUGUAAAGCACUUUAAGUUGGGAGGAAGGGCAGUUACCUAAUACGUGAUUGUUUUGACGUUACCGACAGAAUAAGCACCGGCUAACUCUGUGCCAGCAGCCGCGGUAAUACAGGGGGUGCAAGCGUUAAUCGGAAUUACUGGGCGUAAAGCGCGCGUAGGUGGUUAGUUAAGUUGGAUGUGAAAUCCCCGGGCUCAACCUGGGAACUGCAUUCAAAACUGACUGACUAGAGUAUGGUAGAGGGUGGUGGAAUUUCCUGUGUAGCGGUGAAAUGCGUAGAUAUAGGAAGGAACACCAGUGGCGAAGGCGACCACCUGGACUGAUACUGACACUGAGGUGCGAAAGCGUGGGGAGCAAACAGGAUUAGAUACCCUAGUAGUCCACGCCGUAAACGAUGUCAACUAGCCGUUGGGG
Molecule: ribosomal RNA, 481 nt
Filed under: uncultured bacterium
Lineage: Bacteria
Description: partial 16S ribosomal RNA
Rfam family: Bacterial small subunit ribosomal RNA
Source: RNAcentral